UGAGGAAUAUUGGUCAAUGGGCGAGAGCCUGAACCAGCCAAGUAGCGUGCAGGAAGACGGCCCUAUGGGUUGUAAACUGCUUUUAUGCGGGGAUAAAGUGAGGGACGUGUCCUUCGUUGCAGGUACCGCAUGAAUAAGGACCGGCUAAUUCCGUGCCAGCAGCCGCGGUAAUACGGAAGGUCCGGGCGUUAUCCGGAUUUAUUGGGUUUAAAGGGAGCGUAGGCCGUGGAUUAAGCGUGUUGUGAAAUGCAGGUGCUCAACGUCUGCACUGCAGCGCGAACUGGUCCACUAGAGUGUGCACAACGCAGGCGGAAUUCGUCGUGUAGCGGUGAAAUGCUUAGAUAUGACGAAGAACUCCGAUUGCGAAGGCAGCUUGCGGGAGCACAACUGACGCUGAAGCUCGAAAGUGCGGGUAUCGAACAGGAUUAGAUACCCUGGUAGUCCGCACGGUAAACGAUGGAUGCCCGUUGUCAGGCUGUUUCAGCCUGGUGACCAAGCGAAAGCAUUAAGCAUCCCACCUGGGGAGUACGCCGGCAACGGUG
This 542-nucleotide ribosomal RNA is filed under the name uncultured bacterium. Its description in RNAcentral is "bacterial SSU rRNA". It matches the Rfam family "Bacterial small subunit ribosomal RNA", at positions 355 to 896 of the family's 1533-position model. The record is from RNAcentral.